UACGAAGGGGGCUAGCGUUGCUCGGAAUUACUGGGCGUAAAGGGCGCGUAGGCGGCACGGCAAGUCAGGAGUGAAAGCCCUGGGCUCAACCCGGGAACUGCUUUUGAAACUGCCGAGCUAGAGUGCGGAAGGGGCAACUGGAAUUCCCAGUGUAGCGGUGAAAUGCGUAGAUAUUGGGAAGAACACCUGAGGCGAAGGCGGGUUGCUGGGCCGACACUGACGCUGAGGCGCGAAAGCCAGGGGAGCGAACGGG
RNAcentral lists this ribosomal RNA (253 nucleotides) under uncultured bacterium. RNAcentral describes it as "partial 16S ribosomal RNA". It matches the Rfam family "Bacterial small subunit ribosomal RNA", at positions 524 to 776 of the family's 1533-position model. The record is from RNAcentral.